Ananas comosus (pineapple) is the source of this 529-nucleotide long non-coding RNA. RefSeq lists it as uncharacterized. NCBI's taxonomy places the organism in Eukaryota, Viridiplantae, Streptophyta, Magnoliopsida, Poales, Bromeliaceae. The transcript is spliced from 2 exons. The record is from RefSeq and is a predicted model, not a curated record.
AUUUGAUAACCAUCGGAAUGGAAAAUUUGCAGGUAAGAGAGCAAGUGAAGCGAAAGCAACCUGGGUUGCUGUUUGGGUGAUUACGAUAAUCUUGGCCGCUGUUGCGGCAGGAGCAUAUGUUGUGUACAAGUAUAGAUUAAGGUCAUACAUGGACUCCGAGAUUAGGGCUAUUAUGGCUCAGUACAUGCCACUCGACAACCAAGGAGAGGUCGUGAGUCAUUUGCAUCAAGAAGAACACGCAUGAAGCACAAGUUUUGAUUCGCAUGUAGGAUCGUCCGAAAGUUGUAAGAGGCCAACCUCUGGUCCGACUGUUUCACGGUCUAUUCCACCAAUAUUAAAAGGUAAAUAGGCUGAUUUUAAUGAACAAAAAAUAGUAUCUGUUUGACGGAUCGGAGCGAGGGCUGUGUGAAAUUAAACGAUAUUUAUUCUUAGAACUACAUCUUUCUGUAGCUGUACAUGUAUAGAUUUUUUGCCCUGAAUCAUAAUUUGCAGUUCAAUUACUGUUUACAAUGGAACUUUGUUCGCAUCA